Long non-coding RNA from Hydra vulgaris (swiftwater hydra), 746 nucleotides. RefSeq lists it as uncharacterized. The record is from RefSeq and is a predicted model, not a curated record. Lineage: Eukaryota; Metazoa; Cnidaria; Hydrozoa; Anthoathecata; Hydridae.
AGAUAAUCAGAAAGAAAAUAAACGAGAAAACUCUGUAAGAGUGUGUCCAUUUAUCAAAAUAGGCAUAUCAACAUAGCAGCAAACAUCUGAGUUAAAAAGCUUGGGUUAAAAUUUUCUAAUCAAAAUGAGCCCUAAACUGUCAUAGAAGAAAAAUCACAUUCGAUAUAGACUGUUUGUAAACCUUGUAUUGGAAUUUUUCUAGAAGGUUGACAUCUAAAGUUUAUUAUCAUAUCCAAAAUUUUCUUUUUCAACUUUUAAUAUAUUUAAAAGUUUAUGCUUUUUUUUUUAGAGUUUUUUUAAAGUCCAUUUUUAUUUCACUCCCUGUUCUUUUAUGUUCAAUUUUAUUAAAAGAAAUGAGAAUGUGCAAGAAUAAGCAGUUUGCUAAUUGAUUGUGUAUUUUUCUGUCAUAUGCUUUCAAUCGUUCUGCAUUAAAAAAAUCGUACAUGUGAAUAGGAAGGAACCUUGACGUGGUUCAUGUGCUUUAAAACAAAUACCUUCCAGACAGAAACUUUCUGAUACCUUGUGUAAUACGUUGUUUACAUAAAAUACGUUGAGGAUUUUGAGAGAUGAAGGGAAUAAGCAGUAUGAAAAAUAAAUGCUUAAGAAGAUGUUUAACAACGACAAUGAACUUCAAAUAUUUUUUUAAAUGUUAUUGUUAAUUGCAGUUAAUUUAUAUUAACAUAUUAUUUAUGUAACAGUGUGUAAGAUAUAUAUGAAAUUGUGUAUUUAAUUUUAAAAAUUUUUUA